CAGCCGCCGCGGUAAUACGGAGGGAGCUAGCGUUGUUCGGAAUUACUGGGCGUAAAGCGCACGUAGGCGGUUAUUCAAGACAGAGGUGAAAGCCCGGGGCUCAACCCCGGAACUGCCUUUGAAACUAGAUGACUAGAAUCUUGGAGAGGUCAGUGGAAUUCCGAGUGUAGAGGUGAAAUUCGUAGAUAUUCGGAAGAACACCAGUGGCGAAGGCGACUGACUGGACAAGUAUUGACGCUGAGGUGCGAAAGCGUGGGGAGCAAACAGGAUUAGAUACCCGCGUAGUCCCUGUCUCUUAUAC
RNAcentral lists this ribosomal RNA (301 nucleotides) under uncultured bacterium. RNAcentral describes it as "partial 16S ribosomal RNA". It matches the Rfam family "Bacterial small subunit ribosomal RNA", at positions 509 to 807 of the family's 1533-position model. The record is from RNAcentral.